AGAAUGGUACUUUAAAAAAAAGGAUUGGUUUGCAUCUAAUUAUUAAGCUUAGGUUUUCAUUCUU
Molecule: transfer RNA, 64 nt
Filed under: Mytilus californianus (California mussel)
Lineage: Eukaryota; Metazoa; Mollusca; Bivalvia; Mytilida; Mytilidae
Also listed under: 1 other name
Description: tRNA-Ala
Source: RNAcentral